AGUGAACGCUGGCGGUAGGCCUAACACAUGCAAGUCGAACGGCAGCACAGUAAGAGCUUGCUCUUAGGGGUGGCGAGUGGCGGACGGGUGAGGAAUACAUCGGAAUCUACUUUUUCGUGGGGGAUAACGUAGGGAAACUUACGCUAAUACCGCAUACGACCUACGGGUGAAGGCAGGGGAUCUUCGGACCUUGCGCGAUUGAAUGAGCCGAUGUCGGAUUAGCUAGUUGGCGGGGUAAAGGCCCACCAAGGCGACGAUCCGUAGCUGGUCUGAGAGGAUGAUCAGCCACACUGGAACUGAGACACGGUCCAGACUCCUACGGGAGGCAGCAGUGGGGAAUAUUGGACAAUGGGCGCAAGCCUGAUCCAGCCAUACCGCGUGGGUGAAGAAGGCCUUCGGGUUGUAAAGCCCUUUUGUUGGGAAAGAAAAGCAGCAGGUUAAUACCCCGCUGUUCUGACGGUACCCAAAGAAUAAGCACCGGCUAACUUCGUG
Molecule: ribosomal RNA, 492 nt
Filed under: uncultured bacterium
Lineage: Bacteria
Description: partial 16S ribosomal RNA
Rfam family: Bacterial small subunit ribosomal RNA
Source: RNAcentral